Molecule: ribosomal RNA, 253 nt
Filed under: uncultured bacterium
Lineage: Bacteria
Description: partial 16S ribosomal RNA
Rfam family: Bacterial small subunit ribosomal RNA
Source: RNAcentral
UACGUAGGGCGCAAGCGUUGUCCGGAAUUAUUGGGCGUAAAGAGCUCGUAGGCGGUUUGUCGCGUCUGCUGUGAAAACCUAAGGCUCAACCUUGGGCUUGCAGUGGGUACGGGCAGACUAGAGUGCGGUAGGGGUGACUGGAAUUCCUGGUGUAGCGGUGGAAUGCGCAGAUAUCAGGAGGAACACCGAUGGCGAAGGCGGCAUCCUGGACCAAUACUGACGCUGAGGAGCGAAAGCCAGGGGAGCAAACGGG